RNA transcript from Mus pahari (shrew mouse), 1084 nucleotides. It is a transcript of the gene named guanine nucleotide-binding protein G(I)/G(S)/G(T) subunit beta-1 pseudogene, with no coding region annotated. The record is from RefSeq and is a predicted model, not a curated record. NCBI's taxonomy places the organism in Eukaryota, Metazoa, Chordata, Mammalia, Rodentia, Muridae. The transcript is spliced from 3 exons.
AUGGGUCUGGUAUGGUCCACGGAGGCUCAGCAAGCCCUGUCCUUCUGCCGGACCAGCAAGAGCCUUGCCAACAACGCACCACCUUUGCUCACCUCCAUCCCCUGGUCUGUCACUCUAACGGGGCCUUCCUUCGCCCAGACCUGCCCUCCUCCAGGGUCCGACCCCUCCACGGAGGAGAAGGGAGUGAGUGGGCUUGGCCAGCCACCAGAGGAGGCUGAGCAACUAAAGAACCUGAUCAGAGAUGUUCAAAACUCAUGCGCAGAUGCAGCUCUUGCAGAUCAGAAACGAGAGUGGUCCAGUGGGAACAAUCCAGAUGUGAACCAGGAGAACACUGAGAGGACAUCAGGCCAAGCUUUGUGCCAGGUACUGUGACACAGACUCCAGAAACUCACCAUCUGGGACAGCUAUACCACAAACAAGAUUCAUGCCAGUCCCCUGUGCUCUUUCUGGGUCAUGACCUAUGCAGACACUCUUUCUGGGAGGUAUGCAGCCUGUGGUGGCCUGGAUUACAUCUGAUCCAAACUCCUUAAGUGAAUGAGUGUGAGAGUCGUAAGCUGGCAGAACAUGCAACUUAUCUGUCCUGUGGCUGGUUCCUGGACAACAAUCAGAUAGUCACCAGCUCUAGAGAUACUACAUGUGUCCUGUGGGACAUCAAGAAGACAGGCCAACAGACAACCACACUAACUGGACACACUGGACAUGUCAUGAGCCUGUCCUUCUGACACCAGACUGUCUCUGGUGCUUGCGAUGGUUCAGUCAAGCCUUGGGAUGUCUGAUAAGGGGUGUGCAGGCAGACCUUUCACACUGAUGUGAGUCUCACAUCAAUGCUGUCUGUUUCUUUCCCAAUGACAAUGCCUUUGCCACUGUCCCAGAUGAUGCUGUGUGCAGGCUGUUUGACCUCCAUGCAGACCAGGAGCUCAUAACCUACUCCCAUGAUGUCAUCUGUGGGAUCACAUCUGUAUUCUUCUCCAAGAGUGGCCAUUGCCUCCUACUUGCUGGAGAUAAAGACGACUUCACCUGCAAUGUCUGGGAUGCUGACAGAGCAAGACACCACAACCUCACCGUUGCUUGGGAGUGGCUGUAG